AACGACGGCCAGUUGGUGCAUGGCCGUUCUUAGUUCGUGGAGUGAUUUGUCUGGUUAAUUCCGAUAACGAACGAGACUCAAAUAUAUUAAAUAGAUGCAUUCAGGAUUACGAUGCUGAAACUUUAUAUAACGUUUUAUUAAUAGUAUAGUAAAAUAUGCGACUUUUUAAAUCCGUUCAUAUGAAGUGGAGUCGUACCUGUUUGUUUGUCCCAUUAUAACGGACACUAGCUUCUUAAAUGGACAAAUUGCGUCUAGCAAUAAUGAGAUUGAGCAAUAACAGGUCUGUGAUGCCCUU
This 295-nucleotide ribosomal RNA is filed under the name Empididae sp. BOLD:ACG8766. Its description in RNAcentral is "partial 18S small subunit ribosomal RNA". It matches the Rfam family "Eukaryotic small subunit ribosomal RNA", at positions 1278 to 1471 of the family's 1831-position model. Lineage: Eukaryota; Metazoa; Arthropoda; Insecta; Diptera; Empididae. The record is from RNAcentral.